Schizosaccharomyces pombe (fission yeast) is the source of this 515-nucleotide non-coding RNA. The record is from the annotation of a GenBank genome assembly. NCBI's taxonomy places the organism in Eukaryota, Fungi, Ascomycota, Schizosaccharomycetes, Schizosaccharomycetales, Schizosaccharomycetaceae.
AGGAACAAGGUAGCCCUAGAGCCUGUGCUAUUCAAUAUAGCUGUACGUAUGUCGACUGUCGAUAAGUUUUGUAAAGGAUCGAUUGAAUUCAAUGCAGUAGUAAAUACAUUAUUGAAAAUGGAGUAAAGACGAGCACCACCUGAAAGUUCUUUUGUGGGAAUAUUUGAAGAAUUUCCAUCUAUACUAGCAAUGAACGUGUUGGCAAAGCGAUUCAUCGCCUGCAAUAAAAUAAUUCCACGUUGACUCUGAUCAGAAAGUUUAAAGUCACCGUAAUUGUUUAGUUGUUGUUGAGUUUGAGAUAUUAGAGUGCUAAGGCGGGCUUUGAUAUCGGGAAGGCGCUCACGGAUAUGUGAUACCAAUAGAUUACUCAAUGUCUUGGCAAGAUAGGGUGUUCCACAACGAUCUUUAAUGGUACGAUAUGCCGGAUGAUGUUCAAAAAAAGAGCGCUCAGAUUGCAAAGCAUCUCUCAUGGAUUUGUGAGAUACAAUAUCAGACUGGGAACGGUUAACAGUUGC